GACGAACGCUGGCGGCGUGCUUAACACAUGCAAGUCGAGCGGUAAGGCCCUUUCGGGGGUACGACGAGCGGCGAACGGGUGAGUAACACGUGGGUGGACCUGCCCUCCAGCUCUGGGAGUAAGCCUGGGAAACCGGGUCUAAUACUGGAUAUGACUCCAUGACGCAUGUUGUGGGGUGGAAAGCCUUGUGCGGCUGAGGAUGGGCCCGCGGCCUAUCAGCUUGUUGGUGGGGNGANGGCCUACCAAGGCGACGACGGGUAGCCGGCCUGAGAGGCGACCGGCCACACUGGGACUGAGACACGGCCCAGACU
This 311-nucleotide ribosomal RNA is filed under the name uncultured bacterium. RNAcentral's name for it is "bacterial SSU rRNA". It matches the Rfam family "Bacterial small subunit ribosomal RNA", at positions 28 to 337 of the family's 1533-position model. The record is from RNAcentral.